Molecule: ribosomal RNA, 522 nt
Filed under: uncultured bacterium
Lineage: Bacteria
Description: bacterial SSU rRNA
Rfam family: Bacterial small subunit ribosomal RNA
Source: RNAcentral
AAUAGAUACCCGGGUAGUCCUUACUGUAAACUAUGUAUACUUGGUGUAACUGAACUCAACCUCAGUUGUGCCGUAGCUAACGCGAUAAGUAUACCGCCUGGGGAGUACGCUCGCAAGGGUGAAACUCAAAAGAAUUGACGGGGACCCGCACAAGCAGUGGAGCAUGUGGUUUAAUUCGAUGCAACGCGAAGAACCUUACCCAGGCUUGACAUGCAGAGGACAGCGCUAGAGAUAGCGUUUCCCGUAAGGGUCUCUGCACAGGUGCUGCAUGGCUGUCGUCAGCUCGUGCCGUGAGGUGUUGGGUUAAGUCCCGCAACGAGCGCAACCCUUAUCAUUAGUUGCCAACACGUGAAGGUAGGAACUCUAAUGAGACUGCCCGGGUUAACCGGAGGAAGGCGAGGAUGACGUCAAGUCCGCAUGGCCCUUAUGUCUGGGGCUACACACGUGCUACAAUGGUCGGUACAGAGGGCAGCCAAACCGCGAGGUGGAGCAAAUCCCAUAAAGCCGGCCCAGUUCAGAUUG